CAGUGCGAUCAUACCAGCACUAAUGCACGGAUCCCAUCAGAACUCCGCAGUUAAGCGUGCUUGGGCGAGAGUAGUACUAGGAUGGGUGACCUCCUGGGAAGUCCUGUGUUGCACCUCUUUUUGCCAAAAUUUUACGUCGCUUUUGAAAAAUAAACUUCGAUUGUAUUCAUUUUUUCCGUUAAUUUACGCAACCUAAAACUCUAUUCGUUAAUUAGCGUAGUUUGACGUCUUUUUUGAAAAAUAAACUUAGAAUGCAUAUAUACAAUUACAACGCUUUACUCUCAGGUGCGAUCAUACCAGCACUAAUGCACCGGAUCCCAUCAGAACUCCGCAGUUAAGCGUGCUUGGGCGAGAGUAGUACUAGGAUGGGUGACCUCCUAGGAAGUCCUUGCAAUGCACCUAUUUUUGCCAAAAUUUCUUGUUCUUUUUGUUAAUUAGCGUAAUUUUACGUCGUUUUUGAAAAAUAAACUUCGAUUGUAUUUCAUUUUUUUCCGUUAAUUUACGCAACCUAAAACUUAUUCGUUAAUUAGCGUAGUUUGACGUCUUUUUUGAAAAAUAAACUUAGAAAUGCAUAUAUACAAUUACAAUGCUUUACUCUGAGGUGCGAUCAUACCAGCACUAAUGCUUCGGAUCCCAUCAGAACUCCGCAGUUAAGCGUGCUUGGUCGAGAGUAGUACUAGGAUGGGUGACCUCCUGGGAAGUCCUUGUGUUGCACCUCUUUUUGCCAAAAUUUUACGUCGCUUUUGAAAAAUAAACUUCGAUUGUUUUUAUUUUUUCCAUUAAUUUACGCAACCUAAAACUCUAUUCGUUAAUUAGCGUAAUUUGACGUCUUUUUUGAAAAAUAAACUUAGAAAUGCAUAUAUACAAUUACAACGCUUUACUCUCAGGUGCGAUCAUACCAGCACUAAUGCUUCGGAUCCCAUCAGAACUACGCAGCUAAGCGUGCUUGGUCGAGAGUAGUACUAGGAUGGGUGACCUCCUGGGAAGUCCUUGUGUUGCACCUCUUUUUGCCAAAAUUUUACGUCGCUUUUGAAAAAUAAACUUCGAUUGUAUUUCAUUUUUUCUGUUAAUUUACGCAACCUAAAACUCUAUUCGUUAAUUAGCGUAGUUUGACGUCUUUUUUGAAAAAUAAACUUAGAAAUGCAUAUAUACAAUUACAACGCUUUACUCUCAGGUGCGAUCAUACCAGCACUAAUGCUUCGGAUCCCAUCAGAACUACGCAGCUAAGCGUGCUUGGUCGAGAGUAGUACUAGGAUGGGUGACCUCCUGGGAAGUCCUUGUGUUGCACCUCUUUUUGCCAAAAUUUUACGUCGCUUUUGAAAAAUAAACUUCGAUUGUAUUUCAUUUUUUCCGUUAAUUUACGCAACCUAAAACUCUAUUCGUUAAUUAGCGUAGUUUGACGUCUUUUUUGAAAAAAAACUUAGAAAUGCAUAUAUACAAUUACAACGCUUUACUCUCAGGUGCGAUCAUACCAGCACUAAUGCACCGGAUCCCAUCAGAACUCUGCAGUUAAGCGUGCUUGGGCGAGAGUAGUACUAGGAUGGGUGACCUCCUGGGAAGUCCUUGUGUUGCACCUCUUUUUGCCAAAAUUUUACGUCGCUUUUGAAAAAUAAACUUCGAUUGUAUUUCAUUUUUUCCGUUAAUUUACGCAACCUAAAACUCUAUUCGUUAAAUAUCGUAGUUUGACGUCUUUUUUGAAAAAUAAACUUAGAAAUGCAUAUAUACAAUUACAACGCUUUACUCUCAGGUGCGAUCAUACCAGCACUAAUGCACCGGAUCCCAUCAGAACUCCGCAUUUAAGUGUGCUUGGGCGAGAGUAGUACUAGGAUGGGUGACCUCCUAGGAAGUCCUUGCGUUGCACCUCU
Molecule: long non-coding RNA, 1865 nt
Filed under: Medicago truncatula (barrel medic)
Lineage: Eukaryota; Viridiplantae; Streptophyta; Magnoliopsida; Fabales; Fabaceae
Source: RNAcentral